UUCUCUCUCCUGCCGCUCACGCCGCGCCCCACAGCGCCCGCUGCCGGGAGGGGGCGCAGCCCCUCCCGCAUCCCCCUGCUGCCGCACGCCGGCCGCCCUGUCGCAGGGAAUCACUCCGGCGUGGUCCUGAGCAUCAACUCCCGAGAGAUGCACAGCUACCUGGUGAGCUGAUGUCCCCCGAGGCCUGCGCCCCGGACACUCUCCUCUGCGCCGUCUCAUCCCCGGAGGGCACCGGUGCUGGGACCCGCGUCCCCUCAGAGGCCUGCGGAAGCGCCACCUCGUCCAGCGACAGAUGCCCCCUCUCCUCAGCUCACGCCCGCCCAGCCCGCGAGACGCACGGGGGCCUGACCCCCGACCCCCCUGGACACCAGGCGCACGGCGCCACCCGCCGCCCCCGGCCCGACCGGGCACUUCUCUGUCCCCGGGCCGCGCGUGGCUGCCCCCGCUGCGCCACAGCCCGUGGCCCCAGCCCAGGCCCGGCCGCCCUGGGGACGGGGAGGUGCGCCUGCCGGGGCCGCCGGUCACCCUGCACCGUGGGCCCCUGUCCCCGCACGGGGGGCCCCGGAGCCCCUCUUUCUUCUUCAAUACCCACGGGAGGGCGGCUCCUACCUGCAUGGCCUCCCUCGGCGGGGGCCGCCCUGCAGAGUCCAGAAAGUGGACUGUGACCCAGACCCCACCCCUGCCCCGGGCCCUCCCAACACAGCCCUCCGUGCCUCCCGCCGUCCGCCUCUUUUUAAACUGCAGAUAAUGUAAAUACCUCUUUAGGUAGCUGUUUGCGUUCUGGGGGUGGGGGGCUGUUCAACUUUCUACUCUGUGGUCAGGUAGUAGCCGUCUGGGUUGCUUUGUCAGAGCCCCCUUCUCGGGACCCUUCUUUUAGUGUCGGGGUUCCGGAGGGACAGGUGCUCUGACGGCUUUGCCCCCGGAGCCCGGGCCUGCACGUCUGCAGCCGGCCAGCAGGUGGCACCCUCCCCGGGCUCCCCGCCCACCCGCUGGGGUCUCCUCCUCCCCCUGGGGCACCGCCUGGAGAAGCACCAAGGGCCCGGCGCCUCCUUACAGUUGGGGGAACCCGGGUAGGAGCCGGGGACCAGAAGAGGCUUCGGAUGGAACCGGAAGGGCCGUCCAGGAGCGUGCCCCUCAUUUUGAAGUUGGAGAAAUUGAGGCCCAGAGAGGGGUGACUUUCCCACGGUCACACAGCAAGACAGUAGCAGAGGUGCCCCAGGGACUAGCCCUCUGCACCCCGGUGCACAGUGAGUCCACUCACUCACAGACGCCUAGAAUCAGGGACGCUAGCCUAAGUCUACACUUGUGAAUAUACAGGGGGGAGGUGUUCACCUUUUGCCUUGAACCCCGAAGUCAGUAGUCUCCUCCCUCCCCCCUUUCGCCCCCCUCCUCCUCUCCCCUCCCUCCCUCCUCCCCUCCUCUUCGUCCCCCCCCUCCCCCCACUUUCCCCUCCCAGGCAGGGCUCAGGGUCUCCCCCUAGGCGAUGGGGAACACCAGAGCUCAGGCUGGGAGCUCACUGGCUGCUGGUGAGUCCAGAAUGAAGCCUGGGGGGCAUUAACUCACUUCCCUUACAAAGGCCUGCAGGAGGGGAGACCCAGGGACAAACCCUCGCGCCCGCAACAGCCCCCAGCGCACAGGAGUCCCUCAGUGUUUGCGUGUCACAAAUAGGGACUCUGAGGCCGCGAGGAGGAAGGGGUCACUGUGUGUCACAUGCCAGGUGGUGGAGUCCCUCUCCCCGGGCCGCCACUCACCAGCUGGGGCUCCUGGGCCCCCUCCAGAGGUCACCCUGCAAGUUGUUCUUAAGACCCUCCUUGGGGAAGGGCUGGGGCCCAGAGACCGGGGGACGCAUCGCUGGGGAGGUCGGCGCGGGAUCCCCGGCUGGCACUCUCUGGACCUUUGCCACCCCCCAGCCUGUUUGCAGUCUUCAAAGACACCUUAGGGAGCCCUGUGUCCUGCCGUCCACCCCCACCCAGCCUGCCCCAUGAGCAUCACACAGGGUCAGAUACCUGUCGGCACCAUCCAGAGCCAAGGUCACGGUCAGCAUGAGUCCCCUGGACACAGUGCCCCUCCCCCACCCCCAGCUCACCAGUGCCUGCAGGUGACCACCCCUUUGACCUUCCUUGACCACUCAACUUCAUUCUCUCUGCUGUUUGGGUAGGGGUUUUUUUCCCCCCUUAGUUAUUGGUGUUUCUCUCGUAUUUUACGUUAUUGUUUCUAUUAAGAGUAUUUUGAGUGUGUGGACCCGAGAGCCUGGGAAUAAGGUGGCAUCUGAGAUAACCUUGUACUUCUCCAUCCCCGUGACCAUAUAGAUCAACAUGUAGGGCUAUGGAUCGUCUGGUUAUACAUCUGAGGUUCUACGAAUCUGCUGUACAGGCACCUGGGGGUAAGGUGUGGUCUGUGGUGGGCAGCUAACGCUCCAUUCGACCGGGCUAUGCCCACACUUGGUAUAUGCACAUAACAAAGAUGCGAAAAAUCCUUUCUUAUUUUUCCUUUUUAAAAAUCAAUAAAUCAUUUGUGAUGCUUUUAACAGAGAUUAAAUGAAUAUAACCAGC
Herpailurus yagouaroundi (jaguarundi) is the source of this 2552-nucleotide long non-coding RNA. RefSeq lists it as uncharacterized. Lineage: Eukaryota; Metazoa; Chordata; Mammalia; Carnivora; Felidae. The record is from RefSeq and is a predicted model, not a curated record. The transcript is spliced from 2 exons.